CCGCCGGCGACCGGCGCACGGGUGAGUAACACGUAUGCAACCUGGCCGCCACAGGGGAUAACCCGCGGAAACGCGGCCUAAUACCCCGUGACGCCACCGGAGGGCAUCCUCCGGUGGCCAAAGGAGCGAUCCGGUGGCGGAUGGGCAUGCGGCGCAUUAGCUAGACGGCGGGGUGACGGCCCACCGUGGCGACGAUGCGUAGGGGUUCUGAGAGGAAGGCCCCCCACACUGGGACUGAGACACGGCCCAGACUCCUACGGGAGGCAGCAG
Molecule: ribosomal RNA, 270 nt
Filed under: uncultured bacterium
Lineage: Bacteria
Description: partial 16S ribosomal RNA
Rfam family: Bacterial small subunit ribosomal RNA
Source: RNAcentral